UACCGCGCAUGCUCAAGGACGAGCCUGCCUUGAGCAUGCGUGAAAGGUGCUGUGACCGCCCUCCGGGUUGUGGCUGGUGGCCUUCGGUGUUUCGGGUUUGGCAGUUCACUCACCAAGGUGAUCUGAUGGAGUGCACUUCGCACGAUUCCAAGUACUUGCCUAAUGUUCAUCCUUUCCUCUAGACGGGGUAGGGCUGGUUCUGGAUCUUUUUCCGCGGUAGCUGGAGAGACGUAGGACCUGAUGAUGGCUACUAGAUGCCUGGUAAAUGAUCCUUCAAGAAGUGAAUGAACCGGGGGCCGUGGCUCACAUGAAGUCAGCAGUUCGAGAGCAGCCUGACCAAUAUGGUGAAACCCCGUUUCUACUAAAAGUACAAAAAUUUGUUGGGCGUGGUGGCGUGCGACUGUAGCCCCAACUACUUGGGAGGCUGAGACAGAAGAAUUGCCUGAACCCGGGAGGCGGAGGUUGCAGUGAGUCGAGAUCGCCCCCGCUGCACUCCAGCCAGGGCGACAGAGCGAGACUCUCUCUCAAAAAAAAAAAAAAUGUCCAAGAUGUGGUCAUGGGUGAGGGUGUCUCGGGUGGCGUCAAGUCUGAGGUCGCUAGAAGUAAGCCUACUGAAUCUUUGCACUUAGACAAGCCACAGAUGCCUUAAAAUCUCCGAACUGUAGUGAUAUUUUCAACCCAAACUAUGGUUAGUUUCCAGUGUUCAUCCCAAGAUCCCCAAAAGCCUCUUACAAUCCCAGCAUCAGGCACAAAAUCUAGGAUCUCACGGUCUGUUUUAGAUUGGCUUGUCCGGUGCAGCUCCUCUUGAUCCAGAGACUUACAAACUAAAAAGAUUAAUUUUCUCUCCCGUGCACGCAAUAUAUGAUGGUGAGCCGGGACCAGAUAACCACAAUAAAUACUUGCAUGUGAAAAUGAGAAGAGGAGGAGACACAGUAAUCACUGGUCCAAAGCAAUUCUGAAAUCCUACUGGAAGAUGUUUUCAGGCCCUACAAGAAUAAGAAGUCUUAACCAGGCCCGAGUUCUGCUUCCUGGGAGUAUCUCCCCAGGCUGUAUCUCAGCACAGCUCUUGCCUCUGCCCUCUUGGGUGUCCCUCCUUUUCCAGCACCUUCUUGGCCAUGUUGAAGAAUGUGCCCUUUGAGAAACUUUCUCAACCUCCUUCCUGUCAUUAGCAAAUUGUGAGCCCACAGACCUUUUUUCACUCUAAACUGUUCUGUCCACAUUUUGGCAGCUGGUGGUGCUUUGUUCACUACAAGUCCCUUAAAAGCUUUAUGGGCUUCUCAAGAAUCUGAUUCAGGUGCUCUCCAUGCCCAAGAAGCCACUCCCACUAGUCUUUUUUUUUUUUUUAGACGGAGUCUCGCUCUGUCGCCCAGGCUGAAGUGCAACCUCCACCUCCCGAGUUCACGCCAUUCUCCUGCCUCAGCCUCCUGAGUAGCUGGGACUACAGGCGCCCGCCACCACGCCUGGCUAAUUUUUUGUAUUUUUCAGUGGAGACGGGGUUUCACCAUGUUAGCCAGGAUGUUCUGGAUCUCCUGACCUUGUGAUCCGCCUGCCUCGGCCUCCCAAAGUGCUGGGAUUACAGGCGUGAGCCACCGCGCCCAGCCACUUGUUAACAUUUAAAUCAUUGAGAUCACCUUGACUUCAGCAUUAUUCUUAAGGCCAUAUUUUAUUAGCGCCACUCUGAAUUUGAUCUUUGGCCCAGGUUAUGACUUACUUUGAGAACUUGUUACCAACUAUUGGGUCUAAUAAUACUUUCCCCAGCUUCAACCCAAAGUGUGCUCUAAAUUCUGCUGGCCAGUUUGUUUGUUUGUUUGUUUUUAACCACACUCUUUUCUAUAAGUGUCUCAACAUAUUCAAGCAAAAGAAACACAGGUUAAUCUCAACAUUAUACUGAUAUGAUCUUUUUCAAGUCCCAGAGUUCAGUAGUUGCCUUUUUCUCUGCCCAUCUUACUGAAGGGCAACAAUUUUACAAAUCCUUCACCGUGACAUAGAGUUGUUCACCAUUUGUCCACCUCCCGUAGUUUUCCUCACCAUUGUUCCAGUGUUCACUACCAGUUUCCCCACUGCUUUUCCAGACUUCUAGUCCAAAGCUAAUGCCACAUGUUACAGUAGCACCUACUGCUAGGUACAAAUGUCUGUAGCAUGCAUAUCUUCCUUGUAGUCCUAGAUAUAGAUCAACAAGCUCAUAAAAACUAUGGCUUUCUUUUUUUCUUUUUUUUUGAGGCGGAGUUUCACUCUUGUUGCCCAGGCUGGAGUGCAAUGGCGUGAUCUCCGCUCACCAAAACCUCUGCCUCCCGGGUUCAAGCGAUUCUGCAUCAGCCUCCCAAGUA
This 2327-nucleotide long non-coding RNA is filed under the name Homo sapiens (human). RNAcentral's name for it is "non-protein coding lnc-NDUFV3-2:3". The record is from RNAcentral. Lineage: Eukaryota; Metazoa; Chordata; Mammalia; Primates; Hominidae.